Molecule: long non-coding RNA, 359 nt
Organism: Gorilla gorilla gorilla (western lowland gorilla)
Lineage: Eukaryota; Metazoa; Chordata; Mammalia; Primates; Hominidae
Exons: 2
Source: RefSeq, a predicted model, not a curated record
UUGGUGGCGGAAUAGUGGGUUUUGCUGCAACCGAUUUAUUUUCCUUCUGUUUUCACCCAUUCUGGCACAAUCUGGCGCCAUCGUCCUUCUUGUGAGGCCAAGCCUGAAAAUGCGAAGCAGAGAGGCAGGACCAAAAUUGAGGCGAAUCCGGGAACCUGCCAAUGGGUCUCCGGGUGCGGUCUCUGAAACUGGAGGAUAUCGGGAGGAAAGGCUCUCCGAUGCGGAGAUAAUGGGGAAGCUCUUGGCAUGGUUGGCUGUAGGUAUGUGAUACCGGAGGAGCAGGAGUCAAAUAGGAUACGCCGACUUUUAAUUCAAGGAACCCUUUUCUGAAACACUUUGCCACAAUGAAGGAAAUAAGG